GAAAAAGUUACAAGAACUGCUAACUCUUGAUCCCAUAACUAACCCUUAUGGCUUUUUCA
This 59-nucleotide transfer RNA is filed under the name Potorous longipes (long-footed potoroo). RNAcentral's name for it is "tRNA-Ser". The record is from RNAcentral. Lineage: Eukaryota; Metazoa; Chordata; Mammalia; Diprotodontia; Potoroidae.